UACGGAGGGUGCGAGCGUUGUCCGGAUUUAUUGGGCGUAAAGAGCGUGUAGGCGGCUUGGUAGGUCCGCUGUGAAAACUCGAGGCUCAACCUCGAGAUGUCGGCGGAAACCACUUGGCUAGAGUCCGGAAGAGGAGAGUGGAAUUCCCGGUGUAGCGGUGAAAUGCGCAGAUAUCGGGAAGAACACCUAUGGCGAAGGCAGCUCUCUGGGACGGUACUGACGCUGAGACGCGAAAGCGUGGGGAGCGAACAGG
RNAcentral lists this ribosomal RNA (253 nucleotides) under uncultured bacterium. RNAcentral's name for it is "partial 16S ribosomal RNA". It matches the Rfam family "Bacterial small subunit ribosomal RNA", at positions 524 to 776 of the family's 1533-position model. The record is from RNAcentral.